AAACCAUGGUUUGGGCAUUUGCGGAGAAGGGCUUUGAACCGUGCCAGUGCUUCAUAUAGAGGCUCAUUAUAUUCUUGCGUGAACUGAAAGAUCUCACACUUAAGCUU
This is a small nucleolar RNA of Salvia splendens (bonfire salvia), 107 nucleotides long. Lineage: Eukaryota; Viridiplantae; Streptophyta; Magnoliopsida; Lamiales; Lamiaceae. The record is from RefSeq and is a predicted model, not a curated record.